GAUGAACGCUGGCGGUAUGCCUAACACAUGCAAGUCGUACGAGAGUUUUUAACUCUAGUGGCGGACGGGUGAGUAACACGUGAGAAUUUGCCUUUAGGAGGGGGAUAACAAUUGGAAACGAAUGCUAAUACCCCAUAUGCUUUCGAGUGAAAUGGAUUUUAUCCGCCUAGAGAGAAGCUCGCGGCUGAUUAGCUUGUUGGUAAGGUAAGAGCUUACCAAGGCGACGAUCAGUAUCUGGUUUGAGAGGACGAUCAGACACACUGGAACUGAGACACGGUCCAGACUCCUACGGGAGGCAGCAGUGGGGAAUUUUCCGCAAUGGGCGAAAGCCUGACGGAGCAAUACCGCGUGAGGGAAGAAUGCCUAUGGGUUGUAAACCUCUUUUUUCUAGGGAGGAAGUAAAAUGACGUGUACCUGAAGAAUAAGCAUCGGCUAACUCCGUG
This 443-nucleotide ribosomal RNA is filed under the name uncultured bacterium. RNAcentral's name for it is "bacterial SSU rRNA". It matches the Rfam family "Bacterial small subunit ribosomal RNA", at positions 28 to 507 of the family's 1533-position model. The record is from RNAcentral.